GCCUCGGUAGCUCAGUCUGGGAGAGCGGUUCCCUUGUAAGGAACAGGUCGUGGGUUCAGAUCCCACCCGAGGCU
This 74-nucleotide transfer RNA is filed under the name Methanobacteriota archaeon. RNAcentral describes it as "tRNA-Thr". It matches the Rfam family "tRNA". From Rfam's summary of the family: Transfer RNA (tRNA) molecules are approximately 80 nucleotides in length. Their secondary structure includes four short double-helical elements and three loops (D, anti-codon, and T loops). Further hydrogen bonds mediate the characteristic L-shaped molecular structure. tRNAs have two regions of fundamental functional importance: the anti-codon, which is responsible for specific mRNA codon recognition, and the 3' end, to which the tRNAs corresponding amino acid is attached (by aminoacyl-tRNA synthetases). tRNAs cope with the degeneracy of the genetic code in two manners: having more than one tRNA (with a specific anti-codon) for a particular amino acid; and 'wobble' base-pairing, i.e. permitting non-standard base-pairing at the 3rd anti-codon position. Lineage: Archaea; Methanobacteriati; Methanobacteriota. The record is from RNAcentral. RNAcentral also lists the same sequence under 1 other name.